UACGAAGGGUGCAAGCGUUGAUCGGAAUUACUGGGCGUAAAGCGCACGUAGGCGGUCAUAUAAGUCGGGUGUGAAAGCCCGCAGCUCAACUUCGGAACUGCCUUUGAUACUGUCUAACUUGAGUAUGGUAGAGGUAAGUGGAAUUCCGGGUGUAGAGGUGAAAUGCGUAGAUAUUCGGAGGAACACCAGUGGCGAAGGCGGCCUACUGGACCAUGACUGACACUGAGGUGCGAAAGCGUGGGGAGCAAACAGG
This 253-nucleotide ribosomal RNA is filed under the name uncultured bacterium. Its description in RNAcentral is "partial 16S ribosomal RNA". It matches the Rfam family "Bacterial small subunit ribosomal RNA", at positions 524 to 776 of the family's 1533-position model. The record is from RNAcentral.